CGAAGAUCGAGGUAGUGACGAAAAAUAACGAUCCAGGACUCAUCCGAGGCCCUGGAAUCGGAAUGAGUACACUUUAAAACCGUCCCCGAGGAUCUAUUGGAGGGCAAGUCUGGUGCCAGCAGCCGCGGUAAUUCCAGCUCCAAUAGCGUAUAUUAAAGUUGUUGUGGUUAAAAAGCUCGUAGUUGGAUCUCGGCGGACUGAGGGCGGUUUGCUUGCUAGUAUUACUGCCCUAUAGUCCGUAGUUUUGCCAGAGGUUUCGGGGUGCUCUUAAUCGAGUGUCCCGGGAUGCUGGCAGGUUUACUUUGAAAAAAUUAGAGUGCUCAAAGCAGGCUAUUACGCCUGAAUAUUCGUGCAUGGAAUAAUAGAAUAGGAAGUCGUUUCUAUUUUGUUGGUUUUCGGAAAUCGACUUAAUGAUUAAUAGGGACAGUCGGGGGCAUUUGUAUUCAAACGACAGAGGUGAAAUUCUUGGACCGUUUGAAGACAAACUACUGCGAAAGCAUUUGCCAAGAAUGUUUUCAUUAAUCAAGAACGAAAGUUAAAGGUUCGAAGGCGAUUAGAUACCGCCCUAGUUUUAACCAUAAACGAUGCCAGCUAGCGAUCUGCGGACGUUUUUUUUGUAGACUCCGCAGGAAGCUUCCGGGAAACCAAAGCAUUUGGGUUCCAGGGGAAGUAUGGUUGCAAAGCUGAAACUUAAAGGAAUUGACGGAAGGGCACCACCAGGAGUGGAGCCUGUGGCUUAAUUUGACUCAACACGGGAAAUCUCACCAGGCCCGGACACUGGAAGGAUUGACAGAUUGAUAGCUCUUUCUUGAUUCGGUGGGUGGUGGUGCAUGGCCGUUCUUAGUUGGUGGAGUGAUUUGUCUGGUUAAUUCCGAUAACGAACGAGACUCUGUCCUGCUAAAUAGUGUCUGCUUCUCUUUUGAGCAGACAAUUCUUCUUAGAGGGACUGGCGACUCUUAGUCGCACGAGAUUGAGCAAUAACAGGUCUGUGAUGCCCUUAGAUGUUCUGGGCCGCACACGCGCUACACUGAAUAGAUCAGCGUGUUCUCCCUUUCCGAGAGGAACGGGUAAACCGCUGAACCCUAUUCGUGGUAGGGAUCGGGGCUUGCAAUUAUUCCCCGUGAACCAGGAAUUCCCAGUAGGCGCAAGUCAUAAGCUUGCGUCGAUUACGUCCCUGCCCUUUGUACACACCGCCCGUCGCUACUACCGAUUGAACGUUUUAGUGAGGUCCUCGGACUGUUUGCCUGGCGGAUUACUCUGCCUGGCU
Molecule: ribosomal RNA, 1267 nt
Filed under: Calanus pacificus
Lineage: Eukaryota; Metazoa; Arthropoda; Copepoda; Calanoida; Calanidae
Description: SSU rRNA
Rfam family: Eukaryotic small subunit ribosomal RNA
Source: RNAcentral